RNAcentral lists this long non-coding RNA (706 nucleotides) under Panax ginseng (ginseng). Its description in RNAcentral is "long non-coding RNA (PGIN_LNC012695)". The record is from RNAcentral. Lineage: Eukaryota; Viridiplantae; Streptophyta; Magnoliopsida; Apiales; Araliaceae.
UCUCACCCUCCUCUCGCUUCCCUCUCACUUUCUCUCUCCAAAAUCACCCGAUUCAUUCACUGCUCUUUCUUUCUCCUAAAACUUUAUCUCUCUACAUUCAUCCCUAUUUAACAACUCUGCUUAACUUAGGGUUUUCCAUUCUUCAAGUCAGCUUGAUUGGUUGAAAGUUAAAACUAUAGCUUCUAAAGGUAUCUUAAUGUUAUUGUAUUGAAAUGAAUCUUAUUGGCUUAGCUUUUUGGUGGUUAAUUGUAGCUUUUGAGCUGAAAAAUUUGUAAUGUAAGUGUUUUAUCCAAUUAUUACUGUUUCUUAUUUUUUUUGUUAAUUACAUAUCUAUUAUGUUAAUAUGCUGAUAUAUGUGUUAGUUGUCAAAACGUAGGAAAAUUUGACUAAACUUGAGCUGUGUGAUCUUGAUUUUGAUUGAUUGAAUUGGAUUGGAUUUAAAUACAAGCUGUUUCUUUUCUGUUUUAAUAAAUUUUUGUUUGAAACUGUAAUUCAGUUAAUAUUAGUUCCAUUAAGUAGAAGAUCUGUCAAAAUAAAUAAAUAUUGGGGAAGGAAGAAAUAAAUUUUGUAGCUAUGCUGUUAAUAUGAUAUUAUAGAAGAAGGGGUUAAUAUUUAUAUUUUUCUAAAAAUUCUGAUGCAGGGAAUUGAAGAUAUUAUUUAAUUGCUUUCAUGUUACAGUGCAUUUGAAACAGAAGCGCUGCUUAUU